This 60-nucleotide ribosomal RNA is filed under the name Alternaria sp. MY-2011. RNAcentral's name for it is "partial 18S small subunit ribosomal RNA". It matches the Rfam family "Eukaryotic small subunit ribosomal RNA", at positions 1772 to 1831 of the family's 1831-position model. The record is from RNAcentral. Lineage: Eukaryota; Fungi; Ascomycota; Dothideomycetes; Pleosporales; Pleosporaceae.
UCUUGAAGUGUAAAAGUCGUAACAAGGUCUCCGUAGGUGAACCUGCGGAGGGAUCAUUAC